GAAGAAGAUAUCCCUCAGAGGCAACCAAGGGAGCCUAAAAUGCCGACUAACUAGAAAAUGUAGAAGGUUUUCACUAAGUCUGCUUAACUGAGUGUGAUGUUUACCGAUUUUGUGUAGCCUAGUGACAAGAAGAACACCAUACAUGCCAUCAACAUAAAAUCCCAGACAUAAUACUCCAGAGUACGCCAUGAAUUUUUACCCAUCAACAUUGUAGCUAGAUAGUUCCACUCUUCUUGGAGCCUUCUAAUCCCUAGGGAUUGGAAUCUGUCAGUUGUACCCAUCCUAAUAGCGAUGUCCUCGUCCAUAAAGUCACAUUUUGGAUCAUAUCGAAUUAUCUGAGAACUCCUACGAGUGAGCUAGGUUGGAUUCCCUCAAGUGCGAUCAGCUCAAUGAAGUAUUUCAGAGAAGCCCUUAAGAUUUCCCUCCUACCUAACCAUAACAGCUUCUAGUUGACCCAUUAUCCACUUAUAUUAGUCAUCAUCUCGCUCCACUCUUCUUGCCUAUGUGGGGAGACCCAAUGUCUCACCCUUUCAUUGUGGUUGUAGAUCAUGUUGCUGACACCCACAAAGUACUCAAUGAAGGUCUCUCGCUGGAAGAAAUUCUAUGUCCCACAUAUGAAGUACCAAUAUACAACCUUUAAAGAAAUCAUACCCACCUUCACAUGCAAACAAAACCCUUAGAGUCUUAGCUCAAACCAUCGGCACUAGAGUAGUUUGAAGGUUGCCACGGAAGGUCGACAAAACUGCGGGUAAUGAGUUGAUGUUGAUCUGACCCUUCCUCUACAGGAAGAAGAAUAGUCCCAACAAUGACAAUGAGAAAGUGAUAGUCCUGAUAUUGUCCCAUGUUGCAUGAUCACACUAAAGCUCCCCUGAAUACCACUCAUAGGUUUCGCGAUGUCCAAAUCCAUUGAACAACUAGUCUAGUCUCACCCAUCCAUUUUCGAUAUUUC
This 949-nucleotide long non-coding RNA is filed under the name Nicotiana benthamiana. RNAcentral's name for it is "long non-coding RNA (NBEN_LNC037725)". Lineage: Eukaryota; Viridiplantae; Streptophyta; Magnoliopsida; Solanales; Solanaceae. The record is from RNAcentral.